AUUGAACGCUGGCGGCAGGCCUAACACAUGCAAGUCGAGCGGAUGAAGGGAGCUUGCUCCUGGAUUCAGCGGCGGACGGGUGAGUAAUGCCUAGGAAUCUGCCUGGUAGUGGGGGAUAACGUCCGGAAACGGGCGCUAAUACCGCAUACGUCCUGAGGGAGAAAGUGGGGGAUCUUCGGACCUCACGCUAUCAGAUGAGCCUAGGUCGGAUUAGCUAGUUGGUGGGGUAAAGGCCUACCAAGGCGACGAUCCGUAACUGGUCUGAGAGGAUGAUCAGUCACCUUGGAACUGAGACACGGUCAAGACUACUACGGGAGGCAGCAGUGGGGAAUAUUGGACAAUGGGCGAAAGCCUGAUCCAGCCAUGCCGAGUGUGUGAAGAAGGUCUUCGGAUUGUAAAGCACUUUAAGUUGGGAGGAAGGGCAGUAAGUUAAUACCUUGCUGUUUUGACGUUACCAACAGAAUAAGCACCGGCUAACUUCGUG
RNAcentral lists this ribosomal RNA (484 nucleotides) under uncultured bacterium. Its description in RNAcentral is "partial 16S ribosomal RNA". It matches the Rfam family "Bacterial small subunit ribosomal RNA", at positions 30 to 507 of the family's 1533-position model. The record is from RNAcentral.